RNAcentral lists this ribosomal RNA (301 nucleotides) under uncultured bacterium. RNAcentral's name for it is "partial 16S ribosomal RNA". It matches the Rfam family "Bacterial small subunit ribosomal RNA", at positions 509 to 807 of the family's 1533-position model. The record is from RNAcentral.
CAGUAGCCACGGUAAUACGAAGGGUGCAAGCGUUAAUCGGAAUUACUGGGCGUAAAGCGUGCGUAGGCGGUUUGUUAAGUCUGUUGUGAAAUCCCCGGGCUCAGCCUGGGAAUGGCAAUGGAUACUGGCAAGCUAGAGUGUGUCAGAGGGUGGUGGAAUUCCCGGUGUAGCGGUGAAAUGCGUAGAGAUCGGGAGGAACAUCAGUGGCGAAGGCGGCCAUCUGGGACAACACUGACGCUGAGGCACGAAAGCGUGGGGAGCAAACAGGAUUAGAUACCCCAGUAGUCCCUGUCUCUUAUAC